CCUUUUUUCUGAUCUCAUUUAACCCUUUCCCGGCUUUAGCCGUCAUAUGACGGCAGCGGUAGUGAUAAUUUUCAAAAAAUUGUUGUGGGCACUGUGUUGGAGCUAUGCACACACUGUAGGUACCAGCACAUGCGCAUUGGGCUGCUCUUUCACAUGGUAUCUUUAAUAUCUUGCCUCGAGGUACGCUUUGUGCAGUACUGUCGAAAGAAAAGUGACCGUUUGAUAAUGGCUACAAGAUCUUGGUAGUACAACCUCAGCGAGGUUCUAGGGCAGCUAGACAGUGAGAAUAACGAUGAUUAUGGCCUUGUUGAGUAAGAGGACAGUGACUGGGAUCAUACCAAGAGAGGAAACUACUUUUCAGAGGUCAAGCUAUAAACAUAGAGCCUGAAGAGCCGGAGGAAGAAGCUCCUGAGCAUGAACCAAAGUCCUGGACCUUGUGAAGAAAACAUUUCCCGGGAAAAGAGCGUCUGCCGAUACGACCUCGCAGAGAAGUUUCUGCUGAUCCUGAUUGAACCAUGUCACCGUGAGAACAUUGAGAACACUUACUUACUGUUUUUAGUUACUUCAUGCCUUCAUACAAUAUUCUUUAUGUUCAUAAUUGUGAAAUGUGUGAAAAAUCGUUAAUUAGUGGGGGGUGGUCAGUUGCUAGGUAAUGAUGAUGAUGUCAUGGUACCCCCAGGAUCUGGGCUACCUGUAGGAAAUAGUUGCAAGUGAUUUCAAUGCAUUGUUCAUGAGAUAUUUAUUUUUAAAGAAAAAUAUGUAUUUAUUCUGUAUUUUGUUUUUUUAAUUAAAGCCGGGAAAGGGUUAAUAUGCCUCGGUUUUAUUUAUUUACUUUUUUUAUUUUUUGGAGUUUGCAAGAUAUUUAAAUUAGUGUGGAAAGUACAAGUAGGUAUUGGGUGACGUACAGACAAGUAGUAAUGAAACACUAGAUUGUUAGUAAGUAGGCGGUUAGCCUAGUAUUCCCAUCCAGCACAGUGGGAGACCUGUGCGAGGACGUCGGCCGGGCAUGAAGCGGAGUCUGGAACCAGCCCUGGAGUUUCUUUUGAGGGGCUCAGAGCAGCAGACUGAGCAGCGUUAAAAACGAUGUCUCGGAUGGCGUCCCCACAUCCCACGAGGGCUGAGGCUAACCGGCUCUUAAGCACAGAUUUAUCGAUGGCAGCAGAGAGGGCUUCUCGUAUGCCUCGGUGCACGAGCGAGGUAUACGGUAGUUUUUUUGUGUGUGUGUGUAGACUGCUAGGAUCAAUGAACUGUAAUUUCUUGGAUUUUAAUUCGUGGAUUUGCAAAAUAAUGCUUCGUUCUCGAGUUAUGCCUAGUUUUGCUUACUUGGAAUGCCAUUGCAGCCUUUUCAGAAGAGUGCGUAGCAAAAUGCGUAUCAAAACGAAUGUUGUUAGUAGUAAAUCUGCGGUUUGCAUUCAUACAAGAAUCUGAACCAAUUAGUACUACACACGAAUCCGUACCAGUGUGUGCGACAGAAAGUUGAUUCCCGUACAUAUAUUUAGCUCUGCACUAGAACGCUAGCUAUAUUGGUAGCUGCAAGAGUGAGAAGAGAGCUACAAAGCUCUGCUGAUGGCAGCCAUUCAUUUUUAGACUUGAACUUUUGGUUUAACAACAAUCAUGGUCGAUCAUUACCCACUUGUUGAGUUUCUUUCUGAUUCUGAUUCUUAUGCAGCAAAAUUUACAAGAUCGUUCAUCUUAUAAUUAUAAUGUGUUAUGUGUUAGCUUUACAUGUGUGUUAUGUAGCUUUGACACCUCCACUGAGGAGGCAUCAGCACCCGCAGUGCUUUCAUUUAAUAUAUAUAAUAAACAGAACACAUUUUUUCAUUUUCCUUUGUGUGCAAUUUUAUAAUAUGGCACAUAUCAUUUCAACUGUCGCGCAUUUGGAGGGUCGCAUCUCAAUAGAGGGAAUUGCGCAUGCGUGCAAGAAUGGCUGUUUCGGAAUAUGAUACUAUCUGUGGCUACCACCACUACAAACUAUUUGAACAGCAGUAACAGGCCGGUGCUACAAGUACAAAAAGUCAUCAUGAUCCAUAUGCAGUUUGGCACUGAUCAAAAUAAUAAAACGUUAUCGGAAGCAAGAUAUACUGAUCAUUCAUGUGGGAGCAAUAGUGACAGGACCAAAAAAUUCGCUGAUGAUGAGGGCUAGACAUUCCUUAUAAAUACUUAUUUAUCGAUGAGAAACGACUUGUACGAAAGGCGAAGAAGCUAUAUAGAUGUAUUGACUGAUAUCGAAAAACUACGAUAAAAUUAUAUCACUAUUUUACCUAGUCAAUGAGAAGGACAUAUAACUGAUAAAUGGGGGUUAUAUCAGAACAGUCACUGAUAUAUAGGGGACAAUUCUCCAGCACAGACUCAGACUCAAUUCGCUAGCAAAAGAAUCCAGACUAUUUUGUCGAUUUUUUUGUGUCGAACUCGUCAAAAGAAGACUGACGAUCAUCGGAGCUGGAGUCUCUAGAAACAUCAUCAAAUAAAAUUAUAUCAUCUGCUGGUGGGGGUUGAUUCGACCUCUCGCCAAAAACUUCAAGAAGCUGAGCAUCAAUCCCUUCCAUCAUAGUGUCACUUCGAAUCAAGCCGUCUUCCCAUGUUCCAAACACGUUGCUGAUCCCUGUGACAAGUAAUGAUUUCAUUAUGGCAGCCUUGAUUUUGCUCCAGGCCCAGUCUCGUCUUUCCAUGCACAAAAAGUGAAAUAGACUUAAUUAUGUACAACUUACCACUUUCCCUACAAUUUCUAAUUGUAGAAAUAGCUAUAAUACAUUAGCUAGCAUAAUUAUAGUUCAAGAUUCUCAAUGUCAUCGGAUUUUCACAGUAAAUCCAGUUUCAGUAUGCACCCACUGACCGUAAUCGACGUUGGAUUGUUUACAAAGCACUUCACCCUUGCUUACUCGAUACUUGUGUGGUUUAAAAUUAUUGUAUAUACAUAAUUAUUUGAAGACACAAUGAAGUACACUUGAAGAGGGACUUUAUGUUAAGUGCGUUUCUGAAUAAGUUCAGGCUGCGCUUCUUGAUACCAUGGUCUUUAAUCAAUAAAUAUUUUGUUUUUCCGUUUGCAAAUAUAAAGAGUCGAGUGACUCUUGGUUUAGCUUGUUAUAGGUAUUAGCCCGUUUUCUCUUUGCAUUCUUCUAGACGUUCUUUGAGGUGAUGUGUUUAUCAUUAGAUUGCGUGGAUUUUGUACACAUAAAUUUACUAUUAUUCUCUUCUCAAGGCCCUAUCAAUGACCCCCCAUCGAUGAAGAAGUUAUACAUGUGCAUGUACAUGUAUAUGCUGAGUGCCACCUAUUGCAUUUUCAAAAUGCUGUUAGACGGUGUGUUAUGUUGAAAGCGCUCAGCAGUUGCUCCUAAAUUGUUAGUACUGUAUUGGCUAUAAAGUCAUUUGGCAUUUGAGCAAUUUUUACUCUUAAUUCAAUUCUAUGCAUGCAUGUCCUUCUCGUUUUCCAAUAGCAUGCAUAUUAGCGUAAUGGUGGAGGGUAUGGAAAGCCAUUGUGGACAAAAUUAGAUAUGGAUUUCCAUACUUAAAAUCGCACGUCGACUAUACAUACAUUGAAACCCAUGUGUGUUGAUCAUGGAUUUCGAUACUCGAAAUGGCGUGUCGAUUGUAAUUCGAACCCAUGGUCGUACAUGUCUGUUGAUCACUAUGAUCGAUCACAGCAAUCGAAUCGAAUGGUGAAAUCAAUCACGGCGAUCGAUCGGAAAUCAUUAAGUGAAGCCGUUAUUAUACAGCGCGAGCGCUGUCAAUAAUAAUGUUAUUCAUGAUUUAAAUAUAGACCACACUAAUAACAGGAGCCCAUAAAGAGAAGGAGCGGCUGACUACGGGGAUCACAUCUCGUAAGUGGUUAUGACCGCAUUUCCAUAUAUGCAGGGUCACUUAACCCUUUAACCGCCACGGGCCACGAUCGUGGCCCGCAAUAGUGACUUUUUUGCGAAAUUCUAAUUCUGCGAUACUUAGGAAGUAGCUCGAACUACGCACAUCCCUGUAUAGAGGAAGAGCUGUAGAAUCACGUGCAAUUUAGUCUAGAAAUUUCCAAGCCACGUUGCUAUGUUAAAAUUUCAUUAGCAUCUUACCGCACGAAGUUUAUAGCUAUGGCUAGGUUGUUUACUUGUGCCGAUGUGCUUGAACAGCUUGAGGACAGCAAUGGCGAUGUCUCCUCUGGUGAUAACAGUGCCUAUGAAGGAGAGGGGAUAGUAGGAUACCUCCCAAAGGCUACCAGCUUUAUGUCAGACGCUGAUGAACUGUCUGGGACUGAGGACAUGCAUGACAUGGACCUAGACGCUAGGGCCAGGACGGUGAAAGACCAGGAGAGGGCUCACUGUGUGACUCUGGCAAGUAGUAUAGUAUAGCUAGAAUAUCAGUAGUGUAAGUAUAGUAUAGCUAAAAUAGAAUUAGCAGUAAUGAACAGUCUUUAUGUGAGCUUGUAAAUUUUAUAGAUCGUUCACCGAUAUAGUAAUACAUGUACGUAUUGUGGUUAGCACUGAUACAUUCAUAUGAUGUGAAAAUCAAGCUUAGUCAAGCCUUUAUAGGCUGAUCCAUAAAAAAAAUUUUUUGGAUUUUAUCUCACUGCUGGCCGAGCAUUUAAAAUGAUAAAAACGGUUGAGCGUAAUAACCGUGGUUGUUAUGGCAACACAUGUUGUACCAUUUUAUUCUUUGUUGUAUGGGCAUUCUAUUGGUGUAUGGUUGCUAGGCAUUUUAUUGCUCUGGAAACCCGAUAGAGAAUUUACAGACAUUUCACUUCACUGUUAAUUAAGAAUCCGACGGUUAAAGGGUUAAGUGGUUGAAUCCCUACACGUGUUAUACGCAAUGCAGGGAUGCGGUUUGCAAGCACUUAGUCGCUUCCAUACAACGAAGUGCGGUUUCACCAGCAAUUACGAGAUGUGAUCCCUGAGUGUACGUUGAAGUUAGCCGCUCCUUUUCUUUAUAGGCUCCUGCUAAUAACAACUCAAGAAUGAAGAAUGCCACACAUUAGAGUUCAAUAGCAUAGCGUUCAUAUACCACCGGUAGCAUUGAAGUUGGGUCACAGCAUAAUUAUAAUUAUCGACAUUAUCUACAAUAACUGAGUUAAGGACAUCUUCAAAUCUUCAUAAUCCAUCGUUAGCAGACCUACAGGCAAUACUAGUAACUGCAAGUGUGAACAGCGAUGGCAUCUGAUUCGUUAAAGUCAAUCCGAAUAGACUUUGGAAGAGUUGCACCAGUGCAAUAGAGUAGGAAUACCUCGAGUUCUGAAAGAAAUGACCGGUGCAAUUAAGUAAACAUAAUUAUACAUGCUCUAAUACACUCACUCUGAUCUGAUAAUAUAUUCCUAUUAUUUUAGGAAUAACACUCACUUUCAACAUUUGUCCUAUUCCAUGGUCAUUACUAGCAUUUGUAUUUACAAUGUAUUCAAAUUUGUGAACAGAGCCAUGUUUUGCACCACUUACAAACAGAGAGUUACCUCUGAUCUUUAUGUGGCGUUUUUCGCACUGGUCUUUAUUGAUUAGCUCCCACCUCUUUUUCAAAAGAAUAGACUCCACUUUCCUCUGGUCCCUAGUAAGUGAUAGAGAUUCCAGGAUGUUGGCUGAGAUUUCGCCUGUUAAACAGAAUCGAGUAAGUUCAAUCAUGAUGGGCCUGUUUUUUGAUUUAUUGUACUUCCUGAGUCGUAUCAUCUACUUCCUGAAGCAGCUCUGAGAUAGCUUGGGUGUCUUUCCUGACACGAUCAAUUCUUGAAGUUCCUUUAGAUGGACCCAAUUUUCUAGAGUGCACUGCAAUAUGGUAAGCUGCUAUUGACAGGAUUUUAUGACUCUUCGAUACCAUACACUAUGAGCUUAAACUUUCUAUCUUUAUCCUCUCGUUUUUUGUCAAAAGUGUCCCGGUGGGGUACUAUUUUCCUUGUCAGCUACAGUUGCACCCGUGGCGCCAAGGUCUAGUAUUGGAGCAGGUCCUAGAGGAGAAUAAUUUUUAUUAAAAAACUUAAAAAGCUUGUGUUCCAGUUUAGUAAUUUCUUUUUUUAGGGUUUUGACUUCUUCUUUCAGGCUGAGGGUACUGCAAUAGUGACAGAGAUACUCAUCUGGAGAGUCUUGGGCAUGUUUGAAAGCUGUUACAGAUAGCCCUGCGCAUCCACACUUGACAUACACCAUCGCAGAAACUAGAUUCUUCAUUGCUGUCGUCUACAUGUUUCUCACAGACACCGCAAGAUUCACUUGCAGGGCUAGCGUCCUUCACAGGGCCUUUCUGCAUGUCUGGUUGCCUGCUUGCUUUGGCUUUAGCUUUAGCUCCUUGCUGUUGCUGUUGCUUCUUGGGAGGCAUAGUCAGAGGAUCGAGGCCUCAGUAGCCUGUAUAGAAAGCUUGAUAGAGGUGAAGUUACAGAGAGAGCUGUAGGCUUUAGCUUUAGCUCCUUGCUGUUGUUGUUGCUUCUUGGGAGGUGCAUAGUCAGAGGAUCGAGGCCUCAGUAGCCUGUAUAGAAAGCUUGAUAGAGGUGAAGUUACAGAGAGAGCUGUAGGCUUUAGCUCCUUGCUGUUGUUGUUGCUUCUUGGGAGGUGCAUAGUCAGAGGAUCGAGGCCUCAGUAGCCUGUAUAGAAAGCUUGAUAGAGGUGAAGUUACAGAGAGAGCUGUAGGCUUUAGCUCCUUGCUGUUGUUGUUGCUUCUUGGGAGGUGCAUAGUCAGAGGAUCGAGGCCUCAGUAGCCUGUAUAGAAAGCUUGAUAGAGGUGAAGUUACAGAGAGAGCUGUAGCGGCCAACAGAAUAGUUGAUGCAGAACCAUUGAUGGUGACUUUAAUUCGUUAAACCUUCUGUAAAGAGCUACCAAAUCACCCCAUGGAUCAUCGAAAUCGAUAGAAAGUUUUACCUUCUGAAGACGCCGAAAAUGGUAAUUAAUAGACAGAUGGAUGCUACAUCACCAUCAAAGCCAGAGAAGUUGAAUAUUGUUGAAAUUUGUUUCGCUGAAACACUUUAAGUGAGAAGUGUAGUUAUUAGAUUAUCCAGCUCGUUUGAGUGACUUGACUGGUGCCAGACGAACCUGGGCUUUGAGUGACUGGUACUGGUGCUGGGCUAGCUUGGGUGACUGAUUGGGUCGGAAUAUCAACUAUGAUGACAUCAUCACCCUCUUCUUCUUGCCUUCUAAAUUACAUAGAAUGACAGGUCAGCAUUUAUAAAAUCAUAACCAUGGUACUGGGUUACAUAAUUAUGAUAAUUAUGCCUCGGUGCGCAUGCAAUUUAUUUGUAUUUUUUGUAUCAACAUUAUUUGAGAACUGUAAAUCGUACGUAAGUCUAAUCAGGCUUUUGAUACAUCACAUAAGUAUUGAACCACUGGUUAAUUGCUGUGAUCAAUUCCACUCAUUGAUUGCUGUGAUCGAUCGCUGUCAAUUCCUGCCAUAGAUUCACGAUUCCCAUAAUGGAUCAUAGUGAUCAUGUGUGUGUAUGUAAUGUAUGUACAAUUGACAUGUACAUACACACCAUUCGAGUAUGGAAAUCCAUAUCUAAUUUUGUCCACAAUGGCUUUCCAUAGGAGGGAUCUUCUCGUUAGGGUCUAAUUUGUUCUUCUCUUAGCAUUUUAACAUGUAGUUUUGCCAUGAAUGGUGUGAGAGACUUGAAAGGCUUGUUUAAGCAGACGUCUAGAGGCUGGAGCACAGAUGUGCACAGGCAAAUAUGUGGGCCUGAAACUUGUCAAGGCAAUGCGGGGAUGCACCUUAAAAACUAAUACAUUUGUUUAUUCGUGGCAGGAAGAUCAGAUGCAAACAGUGAGCAGAGAUAAUCACAUUUUCGUCGUUAUCCAGACAUACCUACGGCAUCCAUAUCUCAUCGAUAUAUCUCAACAUCACCAUCCAUGCUUUAUCUUGGGUUGCAACAACAAAACCUGUCAGAACAACAUAUUGUUUCGUCUUCCCCUUGAAAAUUAUCAUUAGUUUGUGUGCCGUCGAUCUAGUUUUUAUCUCCUCUGAGAAGUAUGUUUGGAUGAGGUCUGUCUCUUCCUUGGUGUACGACACCCUCUUCUUCUUCUUAGGAAUUAGGAGCGGCGAGUCCUCCCAUGUUCGUUUCCUAGUAGUAGCCUUCUCGACGAGGUGUCGGAGGAGAUAGAGGUAAGAAUCCACCAUGAGCAGUGCAGGUGAAUACUACCGUCAAGUGACGUAUCUCUGACCUAUAAUAAUUAUAUAAGUAUGUACCAGUUAUCCUUAUUUUGAUACUUUUUGCCCAUUUCAUCUAAAUGGUUUUCACCAGACAAGCGUUUCGUCCAUAUUACCAAAGCACCUAUAUAUACAUACAAUUAUCGGUCCUUUCUCGCAGUUCCUUUAUAACACCAUAUGCCGCUAUUUGUUCCUUUAGGUUUUUGGGGAGCUUUUGUGCCAGAGUGGUUUUUGACGGAGCACAAGGGAAUGCCGUCUGUAUACAGGGAAGAUCGAAAUUGGAAUUUUUAUUAACAUGAUAUACAGGAGUGACUGAAAUCUUUUUCUACCUAUCACUGAAUAUUGCAUCGGUGCACUCCAAACUUUCCAUAAUCUGCUAUCUUGAUUUUUUGAGCAUAGGAGUAUCCUAUGAAUGAGCUUGGAAGGAGGUUCAUCACCUACACAAUUUGAUAGUCUACAGUUAUUAUAGCUACACAGUUAAUUGUAUGUACCAGCAAAAAGCUUCACCCUGAGUGACACAGUCAUUGACACUGACCUGUUGCUCGAUAAAAAGUGGAUGGUUGCUGGUUUGCAACUGCAGCUGCAUGGUUGCUGCUGGUGCUUUCUUGGUCUACCUACUCUCGGCUUCUUAGCUGGAAGGUCAGGUCUGAUACAGGGUCUGGAGGCAGCCUCCUCUGCAGUUUCAACAGCGAAAAAUAUGUGAUCUCUACCUCCAUUUGUAUGCAACGGAUGCCUGAUAGAGGCGAAAAUAUUACGUUUGGACGGAAGUGUCACAUAUUUGGAGGGUUGCUUUAAAUCGAAUAAGUUCGGCCAAGAACCCAAAUGGCACCGGACCAAGUCCACUGGAUCACCGGACCGGGUCCACGGAUUUUUUCCUGGUCUGACCAUGAAACAAAUUCUGCAAACAUUCUGGAUUGUUCAAAAGUCUGAUUGAUCAAGCGACUUUUGCGAAUUAUGCUAUACAAACUGGGAAGAUUUAUGGUUACGCUUUAUUAGAGUACACAUAUUGAAAUUCACUAAGUGUUGAAAGCACGACCUUUGUGGUGAAGACGGGUGACCACCAGGUUCCUGUUUUAUCUUCUGCUUUCCAUUCCACUUGCCCCCAUGCACCCACGGUGAUCGAGUAACAUUCAUUAGUGUAAAAUUUGUGCAGACUCGGGGAGAGAUGCAAAUGCAACUCUUGAAGAGCUUCAGUGUCUUCUGCUUUCGUCUUCAGACUUAUAAUGUUGAUUUGGCUCUUCCUCAUGCAUACAGUAGAGGUGGUCAACUGCUGGUGGAAGCAACUCCACCAGCCCUCUUAUUAUUGUAGUCAAGUUUUCUUGUUUUCCUUUGAUACAGCAGUAAUUGUAUUUUUUAUUUUUUUUGCAAAUGAUUUUACAUUACAAUUAAUACAAAAUUACAUAAUAAUUAAUGAUAAUCAUGAGAUGCUAUGCAGAUAUAAUCAAAGGCAUAUAAUCACAGAGAAACUCAAAAGAGUGGGAAACGAUCGACUAUGAUUGUUACUAAAAAUGAUGCCAAAAGUCCAAAGUCUAACAUUAAUGGCUGCUAGCUGUGCUGGUUGCAUCUGUGCGGUGCUUUCAUUAAACAGGCAAUCUUUUGUCUGUGUAUAGCAGCCUUUUUUGCGGCAUGUAUGCAAUUAUAUCUGCAUAGCAUCUCAUGAUAAUUAUCAUGUGUAAAGGAGGAAGUUUUCCCGUCGUACUCUAAUUUCUAUUAUACAUUGCUUUGUAGUACACUUCGGAAAACAAAAAACUGAUAUACUGUGUUUAGUGAUGGAUUUGAAUACCGUAACAACCUCAAAAUGUCUUUUGCAACCAAGGUUGCUUUUCGCUCUGUCUCGAGCAUACGCGAAGAUUGAACUUCUAUGAAUGUUAUGACGUUUUCAUUGUUAUUUGACCUUUGGGUUGUGGACGCAUCCAAAUGCGGUAAAAACUUCAUGAAUUUCAUUUCAUGGUUAGUUUCGAUGCUGGGAAUGGCUUCUAAACCGACGUUUUGGAGAAGAUCAUUAAUAAGGCUCCCUGUAUAGCAGAAUAUGACCAAUCACUAACUAGAAAGCAUCUGGCUAAUUGUCUGAGUAAUUGCUGUUUCACAACUGCAAUGGCCAAGCAGAGCACGCCACAGUCCGACGAAUUGCGCUAUUUGUCUACAUCUACCAUUUUUAUGGUCAAUGUUGAAGACUGGCAAAAUGCUAGCCUUGCAAUUGUGUCCACUGUAGAGGAGGGUAGACUUUGAUACAUGGUGUCAUACACGAAUACGACAUUACUCUGGCACCCUAGGUUUGACACCAGCACCCAAAAGUGAAAUAGACUUAACUUACCACUUUCUCUCCAAUUUCUAAUUGUAGAAAUACCGGUAGCUAUAUAUAUAAGCACAUCAUUUUACGUUUACAUCUAUGGAACGCCAAAUAGGUCAAAAAUACAUCCCACUUCAAGGGGGUGUCUCACACAUCUAUCGGUUACUUUGCACACAUCGAUCUUUACCCACUUGUACACUUUUGACAUCUAUCGACUACUUGACAUCUAUCGACUACUUGACAUCUAUCGACUACUUGACAUUUAUCGACUUGACAUCUACUGCUACGUAUACUUACAUCUAUCAACUACUUGACAUCUAUGCAAUAUGAUACUACUUGACACUAGUUGGAAUCCGCCCAACUAUACUUGACACUAUCCAUGUACAUGAUCUAGUUGGGCGUGGCCCCACCCAUUGUAGCCCCACCCCACAGGGCAUGGUCCAAUUUUAGGUCAGAGUACAUGUACCUACAUACCUGUGAGAAGUAUAGUAUAGUGCAGUGUAGUAGUAAUCUAGUCUAGUCAUGGCUCUUCAUGUUAGCUCUGAUGAAAUGAUCGAGUUUCUAACAAUAUUGGAAGAUGGUAUAAGGACUAUUCAAGUGGAAGAUGAACAAGGAACUUCCAAUGUGCACAGUCUACUUCAUCAGUGUGAAGACAUUCUCGAAGUUGUUGUUUAUGCCUCUGACUUGUUUCCAGCUGGGUGUGGAGAUGCCAUUGUUGAUGCAGUAACAGAAGUGUAUAAGUAUAUUGAAGUAAAUUGCCUAAGAGAUAGUCACAGAAGAGAGAGACCUUGUGUGAACGUGUCUGAGACUCAGUUGGAGCACCUUUUUUCGUUUGAUUUUAGAGUUAGAGAUAUUGCACACAUGCUUCAUGUAUCUGAGAGCACUGUCAAGCGAAGAAUAAUACAGUUUGGAUUUGAAAACAAAUUACAGCGCACAGACAUCUCCGAAUCUGACUUGGAUAUUAUUACUGCUGAUUUUGUUCACCACUUUCCAAACAGUGGACAAAAUACUUAUGAUGGUUAUCUAAGAGGGAAAGGGAUAAGAAUACAACGAUAUCGAGUAAGAGAGAGCCUUUCUCGUAUUGAUGAAACAGGAGUACAAAAACGUCUGAGACGAGCCUUACACCACAGGAGAUAUAGUGUACCUAUGCCUAAUAGCUUGUGGCACAUAGAUGGGCACCACAAAUUAAUACGCUGGAGAAUAGUAGUGCAUGGAGGCAUUGAUGGUUUUUCUCGAUUACCAAUCUAUUUAAAAGCGUCUACUAACAACAAAUCUGAGACUGUACUACAGUGUUUUUUGCACGCUGUUUCUUGUUAUGGUUUACCUUCACGUGUGCGGUGUGAUAAAGGAGGCGAAAACGUUAAAGUCUCAGAAUACAUGCUUUCAAAUCCUGAACGAGGUCCUGGUAGAGGUAGCUGUAUUGUAGGGAAAAGUGUCCACAACCAACGGAUCGAAAGUUUGUGGAGAGACGUAUUUGUUGGUUGUCUGUGUAUGUUUUACCGGUUGUUCUAUGCUCUCGAAGACAACAGUUUAUUAGAUCCUACAGAUGAAGUGGAUAUAUUUGCAUUACACUUCGUGUUUCUUCCACGUAUUCAACAACAACUAAAUGUUUUCCGCGAGAGCUAUAGCCAUCACAGAUUGCGAACUGAAGGCAAUAGGACGCCAUACCAGCUUUGGAUAGAGGGAAUGACCUCACUAACAACAGAUGGAGCAGCAUUACAAGGAGUAUUGGAUGAUUCAUCAAUUGGAGAUUAUGGAAUAGAUUGGAACGGCCUCUCUUGUAUCGAGUCCCAAGAUGGGGUUGCAGUCCCAAGCACUAAUUUCCCACUGUCUGAUGCACAGUUUAGUAUGCUUAAAGAAGAGGUGAACCCACUUGCUGUUUGUGAUGACUAUGGCAUAUCGUUGUUUGGUCGCACCAAAGACUUAGUAGCUAGAUGUCUGUCUAUUUAGAAUGAUGUAACAUAAUGAUAUUGAAAGAUCAUGAUAAAGUAUGAAAGUGAUACAGGGUGAAUAGAACACAAAAAGAGUAUAUGUUCGAAAGAAUCAUGAUAAAGUAUGAAAGUGAUACAGGGUUAAUAGGUUUUGUCAAACACAAAAAGAGUAUAUGUUCAUUUUAUUGCAGUGCUUAUAGGCAACCAAAUCCUCCAUGGUUUUUCAUACCAUAUGCCAUUUUCUUUUUAAACUCCUCUGGAUUGUUAUAAUACUUGGAGGGCAGGGUUAGCUCCAACGCACAAGUGGACGACGUGGGAAACACAUUGGUAUCGUUAAAUCUCAGACCCAAAGAGUUAUCAAAUCCCAUCGGUGGAACAGACUCUGAACCAGUAGUAAAAGAAAGAAUGGUCUUAAGACUGACAGAAUCCUCCGAGUCACCUACAGUAUUAGCCUAAUGAAAUUAUAGUUCAUAGAUCUACCUUCAACACAUUCACAAUCGUACAGAAAAUCUACAUGUAAGUAGCCUCUUCUUUAGCAAGAUCAUUUGAGCCCUUAGGUGAAAAGUGGGUGAUUUUGAACAUGGCCUUCAUGGUCUCUGCAAUAAUUACAACAAAACUAAUUAUGGUUACCAGUUACACACGACACUUACCAGCAGUCAGAACUUGUGUGUUAUUGUGCACAAAUAGAGGCCUCAUUAGUUCAGGGUACUUCACAAGUGCUUCUCCCACACCGUUCACUUGCAAUCCCUCCUUGAGCUGGUUAAUCUCUGCUAAAGACUCGAGAAGAGUGUAGUAGAGUUUUAAUGUCUUCACUAUCUCAACUUUGUCUGCUUGCGUCGAGGUAACAAGUGGCUUGCUGUACCCGGCAUUCACAAUGGUACAGUGUUGAAUUAUACACAUAAUUAUAUAGAUAAUAUUAUAUACCUUCUGAAUAAGGAUCCGGACGUUAGUAUUUGGUACUUCUUCAUCAGGUAUGUCAAUAUCACAGAUUUUAACACCACACAAGUAUGCGUAGAGACUACUUCCAAAAAAGGAGAAACCACUACCACCCUGAGUGAUUCCCAUGGUCAUCAAUUUUCCUACGAGAAGAAACGUCUCACCCUGUAUAAAAAAGUGUAUGUCAGCGACUACGCAUACACACUUUUACAUCAAAAUACCUGCAAAGCCAAUAAAUCAUGCCGCACAACCUUACUGUUCUCAUGGCCCUCAAACAUGGACUGAGCUAUCUCUUUCCAACAGGCACCAAAACUCCCUGGAUGGGCCUCCACCAUCUUCUGCUUCCUCACUUACAAAGUGAACCUUAAUUAGAACAUAAUGUAGAGUGUUUAUACACCAUUAAUCCUUAUUCUAACCGUCAAUGUCUUGAUGCUUGUAAAUGCAGGCCGCCUUGCAGCUCUGAGUGCAUCUACUAACACAUGAGUGCGUCGUAUUGGGAUCUGAUGAUAUUCCUUGAACCGAUACUCAGACAGAAGCUUCAGCAAGCAAGAAAGAGCUGACCAUCACACUGCACACAGUACAGGUAUAAAAAGUGUUAUAGUGAAAUUUAAAGCUUACGAUUUAUGUUGAGUAUCAGGUUGCUUGCUCUCUGUCAAAGCCUGUUUAAGUAAGGCAUCCUCGAUCUCCUAUAACAUUAAAUCAAUAUUGUAACACUAACUUCACUAAAAGGAUACUAACCUCCCUAGAAUCGGAAUCUGAGUCAAUCAAAAUGGAGUCCUUUGUUGGUUUGACAUCUUCAUCAGAUGAGAAGCUGCUAGAAAACCUAAAAAUGAUGCUAGUGAAAUGAAAAGUGUUGAACUGACCUUUUAUAGCGGCAUCUUUCAACAUGAUUUCUCAGCUUGCUCACUUUCAUUGCUUCACAGCAAAACAUGCACUUCUCCUCAAUCUGUCCAUUAAACAUCAAAAACAAUAAUAAUUUUGCACUUAACACUUUCCUACCUCAUCUGCCUCCCACUGCAGGUCUUCGACAGUUGUCAGAUCCAAAUUCUUCUGUAUCGGCCGGAGGUAGAGCCUUCCACUCCCAAUAACGGUUUUCAGCGUUUUAACAGAUUGUGUUAGUUUCCCUUCUACAAGUGCUAGGUCUUUUGAGUUGGGUAAACACCUGAGCAUUUCAAAACCACCGCAAUCACUUAGCUUGGGAAAGGUUCGAACAAUAAUACUCCGAAAUUCUUCCAUGGAACAUGUGUUGAUGUUAGAAACUGUUACAGAAUUUUCUCCAAGUCCAGCUCCUACCAACAAAAUCUUUGAAGAAGCAGUGGCAGGCGCUUUCCACUGGCAAGUAUCACUUAGACAAAAGAGUUUUAAAGUCCAUGGCUGAGUGCGUCCUUUUUUUACUUUGGAAGUAGAUAGAGAAGUAGAUGGUCUAGAGUACGGAGAAAAAAUUUUUCUUUGCUCGAGCCUUGCUUCACUACUGAAACUUUGUCUCACAGAUCUCAGCGUAUCGAUAGCACGACCACAAGCAGAUGAGCUUGAGCCUACAUCACCCACACCCACACCUGCAAUGUACACAAAUCAAUUAUCAGGAGGUGGGCGGGAAACUAAUUUGUAAGUUGGAGUGGCCUAAACGAAGUACAGCUUGCUUACCUACACCUGAUGAGUGUCUUGCAGGUUGUUGACUACGAGCAUCUCUCUGUUGGCUAGGAGCUUGAUUAGCAAGGAUGGUGUUCAAAAUAGUUAUUCCUUCCUCCAGUUUCUUGACUUGCUCUUCAAUCGACAUUUUGUCUUUUAUUCCACGUGGGGCCAAGCAAGCGUAUCACGUGACUUAAGGGGGUUCACCUGAAGUUAGGCCACACCCAACUAAGGACACUAUCUCAAAUAUGUACUCUUGAUCUUGCUCGUAUAUAAAUGCACCUAGACCUAGACGCGAUGUAGGUGGUGAGUGGUGGACGUGUGAUGGUAGAUAUCAAGUAGUGGAUAGAUGUCACCUAGCUGGUAGAUGUAAGUAUACGUAGCAGAAGAUGUCAAGUAGUCGAUAGAUGUCAAGUAGCUGAUGAUGUCAAGUAGUUGAUGGAUGUCAACUAGCUGAUAGAUGUAAGUAUACGUAGCAGUAGAUGUCAAGUAGUCGAUAGAUGUCAAGUAGUCGAUAAAUGUCAAGUAGUCAAUAGAUGUCAAAAGUGUACAAGUGGGUAAAGAUCGAUGUGUGCAAAGCAACCAAUAGAUGUGUGAGACACCCCCUUGAAGUGGGAUGUAUUUUUGACCUAUUUGGCGUUCCAUAUACAUCAUCUCGAUAUAUGUUGGUAAACUUGUUGUAACGUAGUGUGUGUUGGGCCAUACUGCCACAUUAUUGAGAGGUCACUGUUUACUGCUCUGAGUCUGGCAGACAUAGCAUAGGGUAGCUAGCAUAAUUAUAGUUCAAACUCACUUAAGAUUCACAGUAAAUCCAGUUUCAGCAUGCACCCAACUGAUCGUAAUCGACGUUGGAUUGUUUACAAAGCAUUUUACCCUUGCUUCCUCGAUACUUUUGUGGUUUGAAAUUAUUGUAUAUACAUAUUUGAAGACACAAUGAAGUAGAGUAAUUUGAAAUCUUUGUUUUUCCGUUUGCAAAUAUAAAGAGUCGAGUGAUCUUUGUAUUCUUCUAGACGUUCUUUGAGGUGAUGUUCAUCCUCAAAAAACACACUGGAUCGUGUGGAUUUUUGCACAUUAAUUUACUAUUAUUCUCUUCUCAAGGCCCCCCCAUCAAUGACCCCCCAUCGAUGAAAAAGUUAUGCAUGGUGAACUAAAGAGGUGUCUACAAGAGAGCCAGCUGCUUAAACGAGGGGACAGGAGAUCAAUUAUCUGAGCCAUAAUUAUGAACAAUUAAUGCGAUUAUGGAAUGGGCCUCAAACUUGGAUUGGACCUGUUUUACCAUGCAUGACGACCAUGCAGUACUCCCACACUCUGAUUGGUCAUUUAUGACAAUUGAAUAGAAUUUGCUCGGAACUUUUGAAGCAACGAAGCCAUCAACUAUUAGAGUGUGGCGCAUGUUGACUCUAUAUACUGCUGUACUUUAGUACCACAACGUAUGACUUUUGAUAAAAUUCAUCAGCAUUGUAUGAGAACCAGUAUUAUAAAAUUAUUGG
Halichondria panicea is the source of this 16359-nucleotide long non-coding RNA. RefSeq lists it as uncharacterized. The transcript is spliced from 4 exons. The record is from RefSeq and is a predicted model, not a curated record. NCBI's taxonomy places the organism in Eukaryota, Metazoa, Porifera, Demospongiae, Suberitida, Halichondriidae.